UUGUCUUGUGAUGAUCAAACUAAUAGUUCUUCUGAUGCGCAAUCUCAUGGCGUGGUGCGGAAGCAAUUUGGAGACCUGAACUGAGGAACC
RNAcentral lists this small nucleolar RNA (90 nucleotides) under Triticum aestivum (bread wheat). Its description in RNAcentral is "Small nucleolar RNA Z159/U59". It matches the Rfam family "Small nucleolar RNA Z159/U59". From Rfam's summary of the family: This family consists of several snoRNA Z159 or U59 sequences which are members of the C/D class of snoRNA which contain the C (UGAUGA) and D (CUGA) box motifs. The record is from Rfam by way of RNAcentral. Lineage: Eukaryota; Viridiplantae; Streptophyta; Magnoliopsida; Poales; Poaceae.